RNAcentral lists this transfer-messenger RNA (401 nucleotides) under Muribaculaceae bacterium. It matches the Rfam family "transfer-messenger RNA". From Rfam's summary of the family: Bacterial tmRNA, also known as 10Sa RNA or SsrA, is named for its dual tRNA and mRNA-like properties. Its role is to liberate the mRNA from a stalled ribosome. Lineage: Bacteria; Pseudomonadati; Bacteroidota; Bacteroidia; Bacteroidales; Muribaculaceae. The record is from RNAcentral.
GGGGUUGACUGGUUUUGACAGCGUGUAGAAGUGGUGGGUAAGCGUGCGGAGCUUUGAAGUCUACGCUCCUUAAUAUCAGGCUUUAGCAAUUUUAAAUGGCGAAAAUAACUACGCUCUUGCUGCCUAAUCGAAGCACAGUAGAUUACGCUUAAUCGCCGCAACAGUUGCAGCGACAAGACAUCGCCCGAUUGUCCUUUUUCCGAGACUAAUCGACAAGGCGGUGCAGGUAAAUCGGAAAUAGGAAGCCGAGUUCCUCGCGAGGCGUCCGAAAAUUUAGAGGAUAAGGUUACGGUUGGUAGUUUCAGGCCUGCCAUAACUCGAAAAUCAACUUGAGACUACGCACGUAGAAAGCUCAUUAGUUCCACGUUUGGACGAGGGUUCGAAUCCCUCCAGCUCCACUA